GAGUGAAAGAGAUCUUUGGUUUUGCCUUUGCUGACUGCUGAUCUGAUCGUCUCAAGUCUGGUGACCUGCUGCAGAAAACCCUCUCCCUCUAUCAUUAUCAAGCAAUUCUGUCUAUCCUAUCACUCUCCCAACUCUAUCUAAUUUGACAGCCAUUCUAUCUUGUAUCAAUCUAUCCCAACUGCUCUAUCUAAUUUGACAGCCAUUCUAUCUUGUAUCAAUCUAUCCCAACUGCUCUAUCUAAUUUGACAGCCAUUCUAUCUUGUAUCAAUCUAUCCCAAGCACUCUAUCUCGUUUUCAGAAAUCCCAGUUUUCAGAAAUCCCAGUUUUCAGAAAUCCCAGUCUUCAGAAAUCCCAGUCUUCAGAAAUCCCAGUUUUCAGAAAUCCCAGUUUUGAAAAAUC
Oreochromis aureus is the source of this 399-nucleotide long non-coding RNA. RefSeq lists it as uncharacterized. The transcript is spliced from 3 exons. Lineage: Eukaryota; Metazoa; Chordata; Actinopteri; Cichliformes; Cichlidae. The record is from RefSeq and is a predicted model, not a curated record.